AUGCGGCGGUGUCAGGGCGCGGGGCUGGCGGCGCUGGCCGCGGUGCUGCUCGCGGCUGUGGUCACAGGCCAGGUGCAGCAGGAGCCAUUCGUGGAGACCAGCGAGGGCACCAGUAUCAGGAUCAACUGCUCACAUCCCAAUAUCCGGAUGGGCGAUUUCAUCCAUUUCUACCGUCACCUCCCGGGUCAAAGACCCGAACUCGUGGCGGUCACUGCUAGAGCGUCCAAGGACGUGCGAGACCCUCCAGGGCGUCUGUGGGUGUCUGCGGAUCGGGGGAGCAGCGCGCUGUGGCUGUGGCGGCCCCGGCGCGGGGACGCGGCCGUGUAUUACUGCGCGCUGGGCGCACGGGCAGAGGAGCCGGGGCUGCGGCCGGCCGUGCCCUAA
This is a non-coding RNA of Prinia subflava (tawny-flanked prinia), 384 nucleotides long. Lineage: Eukaryota; Metazoa; Chordata; Aves; Passeriformes; Cisticolidae. The record is from the annotation of a RefSeq genome assembly.